RNAcentral lists this ribosomal RNA (449 nucleotides) under uncultured bacterium. RNAcentral describes it as "partial 16S ribosomal RNA". It matches the Rfam family "Bacterial small subunit ribosomal RNA", at positions 29 to 523 of the family's 1533-position model. The record is from RNAcentral.
AGCGAACGCUGGCGGCAGGCCUAACACAUGCAAGUCGAACGGACCCUUCGGGGUUAGGGGCGGACGGGUGAGUAACACGUGGGAACGUGCCUUUAGGGGCGGAAUAGCUCGUGGAAACGGGUGGUAAUGCCGAAUGUGCCCUUGGGGGGAAAGAUUCCUCGCCUUUAGAGCGGCCCGCGUCUGAUUAGCUAGUUGGUGGGGUAAUGGCUCACCAAGGCGACGAUCAGUAGCUGGUCUGAGAGGAUGACCAGCCACACUGGGACUGAGACACGGCCCAGACUCCUACGGGAGGCAGCAGUGGGGAAUCUUGCGCAAUGAGCGAAAGCCUGACGCAGCCAUGCCGCGUGAAUGAUGAAGGUCUUAGGAUUGUAAAAUUCUUUCACCGGGGACGAUAAUGACGGUACCCGGAGAAGAAGCCCCGGCUAACUUCGUGCCAGCAGCCGCGGUAA